UAACUACUUUGAAUUGUAUGAUUUUAUCAAAUUAUUAGCGGUAUGGGCUUGUCGGUGUCCGUGUCCUCUCCGUGCUUCAUAGCUCUAGAGUGUCAAUAUUGAUUUACAUUUAGGUUUUUUAAAUUGUGGUUUGUUUAUAGUUAGAUGGAGAAAGUUCAUUUAUCUCUCAUUGUUCAUCUCUAUUUAUUCUUUAAUCUAUUUUAUAUAAUUCGGAAUCAUGUUUCUUACUGCCUGCAACUGAGAACAUAAAUAGUGAUAAUCAUAUUGGUAAGUGGGACUUUGUUUAGAGGGUAACUUAUGAUGUCUUUUAUUUCAGAUUUCAGGUACCGUCUAUCUAUCAUAUAUUAUUUUUAUGUGUGUGAGAUGUCAUUAUCGCUGAAAGUGAAAAUAUGCCAGUGUUUGUUACUUGAAUUAGUUUUUGGUGCUUCUGUUUAGUAUGAAAUGUUCUUAUGUGAUAUAUAAAUACAAAAUUUGACAUUUUUAGAUAUUUUGCUAAUUCCAUCAUUGAUAUUUUGAUAGUAUGGCAUCUGGUUAGUUUGCCAAUAUAUGGUAGAUAUUUUGGUAACAUCUUUGUGUAACAAUAUGGUUGUCUUGACAUUUUACAGUGC
This 608-nucleotide long non-coding RNA is filed under the name Medicago truncatula (barrel medic). RNAcentral's name for it is "long non-coding RNA (MTRU_LNC008064)". Lineage: Eukaryota; Viridiplantae; Streptophyta; Magnoliopsida; Fabales; Fabaceae. The record is from RNAcentral.